UGGGUUUGACAUGCCGGGAAAUCCUUCAGAGAUGGGGGGUGCCUUUGGGCGCCUGGUGCAGGUGGUGCAUGGCUGUCGUCAGCUCGUGUCGUGAGAUGUUGGGUUAAGUCCCGCAACGAGCGCAACCCUUGUCCCAUGUUGCCAGCGGGUUAUGCCGGGGACUCAUGGGAGACUGCCGGGGUCAACUCGGAGGAAGGUGGGGAUGACGUUACGGUCUUACU
Molecule: unclassified non-coding RNA, 221 nt
Filed under: uncultured Actinomycetes bacterium
Lineage: Bacteria; Bacillati; Actinomycetota; Actinomycetes
Description: uncultured actinobacterium contains 16S-23S intergenic spacer region
Rfam family: Bacterial small subunit ribosomal RNA
Source: RNAcentral